RNAcentral lists this ribosomal RNA (2902 nucleotides) under Escherichia coli. RNAcentral describes it as "bacterial LSU rRNA". It matches the Rfam family "Bacterial large subunit ribosomal RNA". Lineage: Bacteria; Pseudomonadati; Pseudomonadota; Gammaproteobacteria; Enterobacterales; Enterobacteriaceae. The record is from RNAcentral.
UUAAGCGACUAAGCGUACACGGUGGAUGCCCUGGCAGUCAGAGGCGAUGAAGGACGUGCUAAUCUGCGAUAAGCGUCGGUAAGGUGAUAUGAACCGUUAUAACCGGCGAUUUCCGAAUGGGGAAACCCAGUGUGUUUCGACACACUAUCAUUAACUGAAUCCAUAGGUUAAUGAGGCGAACCGGGGGAACUGAAACAUCUAAGUACCCCGAGGAAAAGAAAUCAACCGAGAUUCCCCCAGUAGCGGCGAGCGAACGGGGAGCAGCCCAGAGCCUGAAUCAGUGUGUGUGUUAGUGGAAGCGUCUGGAAAGGCGCGCGAUACAGGGUGACAGCCCCGUACACAAAAAUGCACAUGCUGUGAGCUCGAUGAGUAGGGCGGGACACGUGGUAUCCUGUCUGAAUAUGGGGGGACCAUCCUCCAAGGCUAAAUACUCCUGACUGACCGAUAGUGAACCAGUACCGUGAGGGAAAGGCGAAAAGAACCCCGGCGAGGGGAGUGAAAAAGAACCUGAAACCGUGUACGUACAAGCAGUGGGAGCACGCUUAGGCGUGUGACUGCGUACCUUUUGUAUAAUGGGUCAGCGACUUAUAUUCUGUAGCAAGGUUAACCGAAUAGGGGAGCCGAAGGGAAACCGAGUCUUAACUGGGCGUUAAGUUGCAGGGUAUAGACCCGAAACCCGGUGAUCUAGCCAUGGGCAGGUUGAAGGUUGGGUAACACUAACUGGAGGACCGAACCGACUAAUGUUGAAAAAUUAGCGGAUGACUUGUGGCUGGGGGUGAAAGGCCAAUCAAACCGGGAGAUAGCUGGUUCUCCCCGAAAGCUAUUUAGGUAGCGCCUCGUGAAUUCAUCUCCGGGGGUAGAGCACUGUUUCGGCAAGGGGGUCAUCCCGACUUACCAACCCGAUGCAAACUGCGAAUACCGGAGAAUGUUAUCACGGGAGACACACGGCGGGUGCUAACGUCCGUCGUGAAGAGGGAAACAACCCAGACCGCCAGCUAAGGUCCCAAAGUCAUGGUUAAGUGGGAAACGAUGUGGGAAGGCCCAGACAGCCAGGAUGUUGGCUUAGAAGCAGCCAUCAUUUAAAGAAAGCGUAAUAGCUCACUGGUCGAGUCGGCCUGCGCGGAAGAUGUAACGGGGCUAAACCAUGCACCGAAGCUGCGGCAGCGACGCUGAUGCGUUGUUGGGUAGGGGAGCGUUCUGUAAGCCUGCGAAGGUGUGCUGUGAGGCAUGCUGGAGGUAUCAGAAGUGCGAAUGCUGACAUAAGUAACGAUAAAGCGGGUGAAAAGCCCGCUCGCCGGAAGACCAAGGGUUCCUGUCCAACGUUAAUCGGGGCAGGGUGAGUCGACCCCUAAGGCGAGGCCGAAAGGCGUAGUCGAUGGGAAACAGGUUAAUAUUCCUGUACUUGGUGUUACUGCGAAGGGGGGACGGAGAAGGCUAUGUUGGCCGGGCGACGGUUGUCCCGGUUUAAGCGUGUAGGCUGGUUUUCCAGGCAAAUCCGGAAAAUCAAGGCUGAGGCGUGAUGACGAGGCACUACGGUGCUGAAGCAACAAAUGCCCUGCUUCCAGGAAAAGCCUCUAAGCAUCAGGUAACAUCAAAUCGUACCCCAAACCGACACAGGUGGUCAGGUAGAGAAUACCAAGGCGCUUGAGAGAACUCGGGUGAAGGAACUAGGCAAAAUGGUGCCGUAACUUCGGGAGAAGGCACGCUGAUAUGUAGGUGAAGCGACUUGCUCGUGGAGCUGAAAUCAGUCGAAGAUACCAGCUGGCUGCAACUGUUUAUUAAAAACACAGCACUGUGCAAACACGAAAGUGGACGUAUACGGUGUGACGCCUGCCCGGUGCCGGAAGGUUAAUUGAUGGGGUCAGCGCAAGCGAAGCUCUUGAUCGAAGCCCCGGUAAACGGCGGCCGUAACUAUAACGGUCCUAAGGUAGCGAAAUUCCUUGUCGGGUAAGUUCCGACCUGCACGAAUGGCGUAAUGAUGGCCAGGCUGUCUCCACCCGAGACUCAGUGAAAUUGAACUCGCUGUGAAGAUGCAGUGUACCCGCGGCAAGACGGAAAGACCCCGUGAACCUUUACUAUAGCUUGACACUGAACAUUGAGCCUUGAUGUGUAGGAUAGGUGGGAGGCUUGGAAGUGUGGACGCCAGUCUGCAUGGAGCCGACCUUGAAAUACCACCCUUUAAUGUUUGAUGUUCUAACGUUGACCCGUAAUCCGGGUUGCGGACAGUGUCUGGUGGGUAGUUUGACUGGGGCGGUCUCCUCCUAAAGAGUAACGGAGGAGCACGAAGGUUGGCUAAUCCUGGUCGGACAUCAGGAGGUUAGUGCAAUGGCAUAAGCCAGCUUGACUGCGAGCGUGACGGCGCGAGCAGGUGCGAAAGCAGGUCAUAGUGAUCCGGUGGUUCUGAAUGGAAGGGCCAUCGCUCAACGGAUAAAAGGUACUCCGGGGAUAACAGGCUGAUACCGCCCAAGAGUUCAUAUCGACGGCGGUGUUUGGCACCUCGAUGUCGGCUCAUCACAUCCUGGGGCUGAAGUAGGUCCCAAGGGUAUGGCUGUUCGCCAUUUAAAGUGGUACGCGAGCUGGGUUUAGAACGUCGUGAGACAGUUCGGUCCCUAUCUGCCGUGGGCGCUGGAGAACUGAGGGGGGCUGCUCCUAGUACGAGAGGACCGGAGUGGACGCAUCACUGGUGUUCGGGUUGUCAUGCCAAUGGCACUGCCCGGUAGCUAAAUGCGGAAGAGAUAAGUGCUGAAAGCAUCUAAGCACGAAACUUGCCCCGAGAUGAGUUCUCCCUGACCCUUUAAGGGUCCUGAAGGAACGUUGAAGACGACGACGUUGAUAGGCCGGGUGUGUAAGCGCAGCGAUGCGUUGAGCUAACCGGUACUAAUGAACCGUGAGGCUUAACCUU